This 494-nucleotide ribosomal RNA is filed under the name uncultured bacterium. RNAcentral's name for it is "partial 16S ribosomal RNA". It matches the Rfam family "Bacterial small subunit ribosomal RNA", at positions 28 to 523 of the family's 1533-position model. The record is from RNAcentral.
GACGAACGCUGGCGGCGUGCUUAACACAUGCAAGUCGAGCGAUGAAAGCCUUAUGAACUAUUCGUAGUGAUUGAGGCCGGAUUAGCGGCGGACGGGUGAGUAACGCGUGAGCAACCUGCCUUAAACAACGGGAUAGCCUCGGGAAACCGGGAUUAAUACCGUAUGAGACCCCGCCUUCACAUGAAGAAGAGGUUAAAGAUUUAUCGGUUUAAGAUGGGCUCGCGUCUGAUUAGCUAGUUGGUGAGAUAAAAGCCCACCAAGGCAACGAUCAGUAACCUGCUUGAGAGAGGGAACGGUCACAUUGGAACUGAGACACGGUCCAAACUCCUACGGGAGGCAGCAGUGGGGAAUAUUGCACAAUGGGGGAAACCCUGAUGCAGCGACGCCGCGUGAGCGAUGAAGGAAUUCGUUUCGUAAAGCUCUGUCCAAGGGGAAGAUAAUGACAGUACCCUUGGAGGAAGCCCCGGCUAAAUACGUGCCAGCCGCCGCAGUAA